Long non-coding RNA from Drosophila mauritiana, 1021 nucleotides. RefSeq lists it as uncharacterized. The record is from RefSeq and is a predicted model, not a curated record. Lineage: Eukaryota; Metazoa; Arthropoda; Insecta; Diptera; Drosophilidae. The transcript is spliced from 3 exons.
ACCCCGAUUUUUACCGCAUUAGCAAGUAGUAGUGGGGAAUUUUAAGAGCCGCAUGAGUCAGAGAGUGCAGUUCGCACAUCGAUUUAAAUACGGCACACACACAUACACUAACACUCUACUUAAAUGUGCGAGUGUGUGUGUGUUUACGCCCACGCCUUAAAUUAUUGACCAAAAUUUAAAAUAGGGAAAGACAUUGCUGAAAAAUAUUGCCGAAAUACAUUUUCAACACGAGGCCAAGUGCUGCCUGCUUAACCUUUGAUGAAUGAACAGAGGAACAAAAAGAACAUAACCAAGCUGAGGAGCAGAGAGAAACGGCAGCGGAAAGAAAAGAAAAGCAAAGAGAACCUACAACAAAAAUUCAUCAUGAACGAGUUCAACAGCAGCCGUUCGUUUGUUCUCGUUGCUGCGCAUUGGUAUGCGUGUUGGCCCGUGUUUGUGUGUGUGUUUGUAAAUUUGUGAAAAAGAAAAGCAACCAUAAAAUGUUUGCACGCUACCGCAGAAAAUAAUCAGCAGAUUGUCUCUCUCUUGACCAAAAAAUGUUUGACAUACGUUUCACUGCUGCAGCAACAAAAACAAGAGCAGCUAGGAAGAAGCAGAAGCGGCACUGGCGUUGCCAGACCGGCAAUUGACAUCUUUGUCACGCUGCCCAAAAGAGAAUUCGCGAAAGCAGUCGAAAAAAAAUUAUGUACAUGUCUUGCAUUAGCAUUUCGCAAACGUGCUUGUUUGCUAGACAAAGAAAUACAUAGGCAUUUACGCAUACUAUGGCAAGCCAGCGAGCAGUCGAACAGCUGAUAAAUCAUUCACACACACUAUCAAGCGAAUAGGGCUAGCACACACAAACAGCCUUCCGGUGUGUAUGAGAGAAAGAGAGCGACGCUGCAACAACAAUUGCGUGUAGCACAAAUAUGUGCGAUCAAUUCGAUUCGAGGUAUUUCUGUGGAGCGGCAUGCGUGGAUUUAGUUUGAAAUAUAAAUACUUGUUCGUUCAACUACAAUAAUAAAUCACUCGGUUAUUCUGAUAA